Telopea speciosissima is the source of this 161-nucleotide long non-coding RNA. RefSeq lists it as uncharacterized. The record is from RefSeq and is a predicted model, not a curated record. NCBI's taxonomy places the organism in Eukaryota, Viridiplantae, Streptophyta, Magnoliopsida, Proteales, Proteaceae. The transcript has 2 exons.
UGAUGAUGUUGAUUAAGUUUUUUUAUUUUAAUCUAGACAACUUUAGGUAUGAUAGCGGAGGUUUCAUCCACAUUGACCAUUGUGGGCAUUGCUAUUUGUUCUUGUGUGGCAGAGAUUGACAGAAGAAGGGGAAUGGGGUGUGAUGUUAUUUUACAUGGAAG